Molecule: ribosomal RNA, 305 nt
Filed under: uncultured bacterium
Lineage: Bacteria
Description: partial 16S ribosomal RNA
Rfam family: Bacterial small subunit ribosomal RNA
Source: RNAcentral
ACAGCAGCAGCCACGGUAAUACGUAGGUGGCAAGCGUUGUCCGGAAUUAUUGGGCGUAAAGGGCUCGCAGGCGGUUUCUUAAGUCUGAUGUGAAAGCCCCCGGCUCAACCGGGGAGGGUCAUUGGAAACUGGGAAACUUGAGUGCAGAAGAGGAGAGUGGAAUUCCACGUGUAGUGGUGAAAUGCGUAGAGAUGUGGAGGAACACCAGUGGCGAAGGCGACUCUCUGGUCUGUAACUGACGCUGAGGAGCGAAAGCGUGGGGAGCGAACAGGAUUAGAUACCCCCGUAGUCCCUGUCUCUUAUAC